RNAcentral lists this ribosomal RNA (489 nucleotides) under uncultured bacterium. RNAcentral's name for it is "partial 16S ribosomal RNA". It matches the Rfam family "Bacterial small subunit ribosomal RNA", at positions 30 to 507 of the family's 1533-position model. The record is from RNAcentral.
UUGAACGCUGGCGGCAUGCCUUACCCAUGCACGUCGAACGGCAGCAUGAUCUAGCUUGCUAGAUUGAUGGCGAGUGGCGAACGGGUGAGUAAUACAUCGGAACGUGCCCUGUAGUGGGGGAUAACUAGUCGAAAGAUUAGCUAAUACCGCAUACGACCUGAGGGUGAAAGUGGGGGACCGCAAGGCCUCAUGCUAUAGGAGCGGCCGAUGUCUGAUUAGCUAGUUGGUGGGGUAAAGGCCCACCAAGGCGACGAUCAGUAGCUGGUCUGAGAGGACGAUCAGCCACACUGGGACUGAGACACGGCCCAGACUCCUACGGGAGGCAGCAGUGGGGAAUUUUGGACAAUGGGGGCAACCCUGAUCCAGCAAUGCCGCGUGUGUGAAGAAGGCCUUCGGGUUGUAAAGCACUUUUGUCCGGAAAGAAAUCGCACUUACUAAUAUUAGGUGUGGAUGACGGUACCGGAAGAAUAAGGACCGGCUAACUACGUG